GUAGUCUGCAACCCGGCUACAUGAAGCUGGAAUCGCUAGUAAUCGCAGAUCAGAAUGCUGCGGUGAAUACGUUCCCGGGUCUUGUACACACCGCCCGUCACACCAUGGGAGUCGGAAAUGCCCGAAGUCGGUGACCCAACCGUUUACGGAGGGAGCUGCCGAAGGCAGGUCUGGUGACUGGGGUGAAGUCGUAACAAGGUAGC
This 203-nucleotide ribosomal RNA is filed under the name uncultured bacterium. RNAcentral describes it as "partial 16S ribosomal RNA". It matches the Rfam family "Bacterial small subunit ribosomal RNA", at positions 1300 to 1500 of the family's 1533-position model. The record is from RNAcentral.